AGCUUCUUCUUCUUCGCGCGUGGCCGGUGUGUUCUUCAACGGCGAUAGCGGUUUCGAGCAAAUGGCGAUGGAAACGAGCGAUCUACAUACCGGUCGAACCGGUUUUCCACCAGGAUUACAAAUAUGGAAUCGAUUUCAACUAUAGAUUACUAUACAGAUCGAAUCGAAGGAAAAAGAAAAUCGCGACAAAACCUAAAUCGACAAUAAUUCAACCAAUUUCCAGCAAUUCUACAAUCCAAGACUUGUUAUAUAAUCUACAAAGCGUAAUCUACAAUAUCCAUGAUAUCUUGAAAAGUCCGAUUCCGCCAACCUUUACUGAUGACGGGCAAAUGGAGUUCGGCUUCGAUUUCGCGCGAACAGCUGCAGCAAUUAGUUGUAGAAGGUGCGUGGAGUGACUCUUGAAGCUCGAAAGUGCUUGGAUUAUCAAGAAUCGCCGACUGUUAUGGUGGAAGCAGGUUUUUGCCACAGCUCGAUUCCGCUACCGUUUCGCUCCAAUCUUGAUCAACAGAGAUUCAUCAUUACCUGCAGAUUUUGAAUUAACAGAGAAAGCAACACGAAAUUGAUAAUCUCUUGGUGAAAGAAUCCAAAAAUCUUGUGAAAGCCUUGAGCAAAAAAUUGAGAUCGGAGAAUUGGUUUUUUUUUCUGUUGUGGUGAAAACGAUUGUAGAAAGAAAAUGUGAUUAUGAGAAUUUGUGAUUUGCAGAAAAAUGAUUAUCAUCCUCCAAAUUCUGUUAGAGUUAGUUUAUAUAUUGUACUUAAUCCAAACUUAAUUAUAAUUAAGCAAGAGAAAUGAGAUUAGUGAAAAAAUGGUUUAUAUGCAUUUUGGAUUUAAGCUCUUUUUGAUUUUAGAAGCAUGACAGCAG
Molecule: long non-coding RNA, 862 nt
Filed under: Lathyrus oleraceus (garden pea)
Lineage: Eukaryota; Viridiplantae; Streptophyta; Magnoliopsida; Fabales; Fabaceae
Description: Pisum sativum (pea) long non-coding RNA (PSAT_LNC036075)
Source: RNAcentral